CUUGAGGUCUAUCCCAGUGGGACUUUUUCUGUAGAUUUACAUCAUUGGAAACACCUCAUAGAGUAUAUAUGUGGUUUCCUUUACUCACAGAACUGUGUGUUAGCUCUGUGGGAAGGAACUACAAAGGCAGGU
Molecule: small nucleolar RNA, 132 nt
Organism: Manis pentadactyla (Chinese pangolin)
Lineage: Eukaryota; Metazoa; Chordata; Mammalia; Pholidota; Manidae
Source: RefSeq, a predicted model, not a curated record